CAUCCAGAGUUUCCUUGUGCACUUUCGUAGGAAAGAAGAGAGUAUCUGCUUUUCUUUUAACACCAAGUUCAUUCAGCUCAGCCCACGAGAGGGCAUGGGGACUGGCUGACACCAUGACUCGCUAAUCAGAAAUAUUCUCUGCCUUCCUUCUAAACCUAAGAGGACCAAGGCAUUUGUAAACCCUGCUAUGAAUUUGUCAUUGAAAAACAACACCUAUGAGAAUACAGGUUUUCCAAUUAGCAUCAGAACUGGAGGGAAAGCCACACAGAGAGCUAGAAAUACCAUUGGCCUUUGAUCCUUAAGGAAUCAUGUUUGAGUUGGACACAGUACUUGGCCAGUAACCAGUGGAGGCAUUAACCUAAAUGAUUCCUAUCUCAGGAUUUGAUGAAGAGAUUAAUAAUCUCCCAGCUUGGUGAGAAAUGCUAUGCUCUAUGUAGUGAGGUCAACAAUCAUUGAAUUCCACUGGACGUUCUUGAAUGGGAAGAGCAACAGUUAAAGAUCUCAACCUUCUUUGCUUAUCUACCCCAUGUAAACCGAACUCUUUGUGGUUGGAAUGCUGGUCCCAAGUGCUGAGCCAUCAAUUAACUCUUUACGCACAUCAUUCACAUUCUCUGGGGACUUCUUAUUUGUUUCUGUUAAAAAAUUUAAA
Long non-coding RNA from Herpailurus yagouaroundi (jaguarundi), 649 nucleotides. RefSeq lists it as uncharacterized. The transcript is spliced from 3 exons. Lineage: Eukaryota; Metazoa; Chordata; Mammalia; Carnivora; Felidae. The record is from RefSeq and is a predicted model, not a curated record.